This 140-nucleotide ribosomal RNA is filed under the name uncultured eukaryote. RNAcentral's name for it is "partial 18S ribosomal RNA". It matches the Rfam family "Eukaryotic small subunit ribosomal RNA", at positions 1299 to 1458 of the family's 1831-position model. The record is from RNAcentral.
UAGUGGAGCUAUUUGUCUGGUUAAUUUCGUUAACGAAUGAGACCUCAGCCUGCUAACUAGCUAUGCGAAGGAAUCCCUCCGUAGUUAGCAUCUUAGAGAGACUAUGGCCGUUUAGGCCACGGAAGUUUGAGGCAAUAACA